UACGGGGGGGGCAAGCGUUGUUCGGAAUUACUGGGCGUAAAGGGCUCGUAGGCGGCCAACUAAGUCAGACGUGAAAUCCCUCGGCUUAACCGGGGAACUGCGUCUGAUACUGGAUGGCUUGAGGUUGGGAGAGGGAUGCGGAAUUCCAGGUGUAGCGGUGAAGUGCGUAGAUAUCAGGAGGAACACCGGUGGCGAAGGCGGGUCUCUGGGCCGAUACUGACGCUGAGGAGCGAAAGCGUGGGGAGCGAACGGG
RNAcentral lists this ribosomal RNA (253 nucleotides) under uncultured bacterium. Its description in RNAcentral is "partial 16S ribosomal RNA". It matches the Rfam family "Bacterial small subunit ribosomal RNA", at positions 524 to 776 of the family's 1533-position model. The record is from RNAcentral.